Molecule: ribosomal RNA, 461 nt
Filed under: uncultured bacterium
Lineage: Bacteria
Description: bacterial SSU rRNA
Rfam family: Bacterial small subunit ribosomal RNA
Source: RNAcentral
GAUGAACGCUGGCGGCGUGCUUAAUACAUGCAAGUCGAACGGAGACAGUAGCAAUAUUGUCUUAGUGGCGAACGGGUGAGUAACGCGUUGGUGACCUGCCCCGAAGAGGGGGAUAACAGUCCGAAAGGAUUGCUAAUACCCCAUGUGGUCGUUUGGAUUAGAUGCCUUAUGACUAAACGGAUUUAUUCGCUUCGGGAGGGGCCUGCGUCCCAUCAGCUAGUUGGUAAGGUAAUGGCUUACCAAGGCGAUGACGGGUAGGGGACCUGAGAGGGUGGCCCCCCACAAUGGAACUGAAACACGGUCCAUACACCUACGGGUGGCAGCAGUAGGGAAUAUUGGUAAUCUGGGAAACCGGGAACCAGCAACGCCGCGUGCGCGAUGAAGGCCUUCGGGUUGUAAAGCGCUUUUUGAGGGGAUGAGGAAGGACAGUACCCUCAGAAUAAGCCUCGGCUAACUACGUG